AAAUUGAAGAGUUUGAUCAUGGCUCAGAUUGAACGCUGGCGGCAGGCCUAACACAUGCAAGUCGAACGGUAGCACAGAGAGCUUGCUCUCGGGUGACGAGUGGCGGACGGGUGAGUAAUGUCUGGGAAACUGCCCGAUGGAGGGGGAUAACUACUGGAAACGGUAGCUAAUACCGCAUAACGUCGCAAGACCAAAGUGGGGGACCUUCGGGCCUCACACCAUCGGAUGUGCCCAGAUGGGAUUAGCUAGUAGGUGGGGUAACGGCUCACCUAGGCGACGAUCCCUAGCUGGUCUGAGAGGAUGACCAGCCACACUGGAACUGAGACACGGUCCAGACUCCUACGGGAGGCAGCAGUGGGGAAUAUUGCACAAUGGGCGCAAGCCUGAUGCAGCCAUGCCGCGUGUAUGAAGAAGGCCUUCGGGUUGUAAAGUACUUUCAGCGAGGAGGAAGGCGUUGUGGUUAAUAACCACAGCGAUUGACGUUACUCGCAGAAGAAGCACCGGCUAACUCCGUGCCAGCAGCCGCGGUAAUACGGAGGGUGCAAGCGUUAAUCGGAAUUACUGGGCGUAAAGCGCACGCAGGCGGUUUGUCAAGUCAGAUGUGAAAUCCCCGGGCUCAACCUGGGAACUGCAUUUGAAACUGGCAAGCUUGAGUCU
This 657-nucleotide ribosomal RNA is filed under the name Salmonella enterica subsp. enterica serovar Kentucky. Its description in RNAcentral is "bacterial SSU rRNA". It matches the Rfam family "Bacterial small subunit ribosomal RNA", at positions 1 to 649 of the family's 1533-position model. Lineage: Bacteria; Pseudomonadati; Pseudomonadota; Gammaproteobacteria; Enterobacterales; Enterobacteriaceae. The record is from RNAcentral.